GACACCAUUAAGACUUCAGAGACUGUUGAUAUUCACUCCAUGCAGAUUUAUUUGUUACAUUUUAAAAAAUAAAACAAGCUGCCUCAGACACAUCAACUGACCACCGGUGAUAGUCGAAUAGACAACUGAAUCUAAGUUUCAUACGACUCUCUUCUUAUACAGAGUUUUGGGCGGUGUCAGUUGGACACAUUCACGGCCACAGUUACCUCAUGUUAGUUACAUCUUUAGAUGGACCUGAACUGGUGAUAUUUUUACUUCUAACAGUCUUCUCAUCUUCCUUUUCUUAAGUACACCUAGGUCCUUGUGACCCAGACAAUAACUACUAACCUACAUGCUAGUCAACAGAUGAUU
Molecule: long non-coding RNA, 351 nt
Organism: Sander lucioperca (pikeperch)
Lineage: Eukaryota; Metazoa; Chordata; Actinopteri; Perciformes; Percidae
Exons: 4
Source: RefSeq, a predicted model, not a curated record